CAAGUCUCCUGGAAGGGAGCAUCGUAGAGGGUGACAAUCCCGUCUCUGACACGGACCGCCGGCGCUAUGUGAUGCGCUCUCGACGAGUCGAGUUGUUUGGGAAUGCAGCUCAAAUAGGGUGGUAAACUCCAUCUAAAGCUAAAUACGGGCGAGAGACCGAUAGCGAACAAGUACCGUGAGGGAAAGAUGAAAAGAACUUUGGAAAGAGAGUUAAACAGUACGUGAAAUUGCUGGAAGGGAAACGCUUGACGUCAGUCGCGUCGUCCGGGGAUCAACCUUGCCCUCUGGCUGGGCGUAUUUCCCGGUCGACGGGUCAGCAUCGAUUUCGACCGUCGUAGAAGGACUGGAGCGAAUGUGGCACUCCACGGAGUGUGUUAUAGCCUCCCGUAUGGAUGCGACGGUCGGGAUCGAGGAACUCGGCACGGCCCCUCGAGGGUUCGGGGCUUCGGUCCACGCAGCGUGCCCAGGAUGCUGGCAUAAUGGCUUUAAGCGACCCGUCUUGAAACACGGACCAAGGAGUCUAACGUGCCUGCGAGUGUUUGGGUGCAAAACCCGAGCGCGAAACGAAAGUGAAAGUCGAGACCUCCGUCGCGGAGGGCACCGACGCCCGGACCGGAGCCUUUGGCGAUGGAUCUGCGGUAGAGCAUGUAUGUUGGGACCCGAAAGAUGGUGAACUAUGCCUGAAUAGGGCGAAGCCAG
RNAcentral lists this ribosomal RNA (699 nucleotides) under Scleroderma sp. RNAcentral describes it as "eukaryotic LSU rRNA". It matches the Rfam family "Eukaryotic large subunit ribosomal RNA", at positions 182 to 855 of the family's 3401-position model. The record is from RNAcentral. Lineage: Eukaryota; Fungi; Basidiomycota; Agaricomycetes; Boletales; Sclerodermataceae.